Long non-coding RNA from Cavia porcellus (domestic guinea pig), 1152 nucleotides. RefSeq lists it as uncharacterized. The record is from RefSeq and is a predicted model, not a curated record. Lineage: Eukaryota; Metazoa; Chordata; Mammalia; Rodentia; Caviidae. The transcript is spliced from 4 exons.
UAUGUAGUGCAGGCUGGGCUUGAACUUGCUUAUGGAACCCUGAACUCACAGUGAUCCUCCUGCCUCAGCCUCUGGAGUGCUGAGAUUACAGAAAGGAGAGGAAGUAUUUAGAGGAACUAUUGCCCUGAGCCAAAUUUUGACCAGCCACGUGGAGCAAGCUGGAUUCACAUAGCUCGGCAAGUGCUCUACUUCUGAGCUACACUCUCCACCUGCAUUAUGGAAUAUUUAAUGAAGAAAGUCCCCAAGGUGAUGGACAAUGGUUUCCAGGGGCUGGUGAAGGGUUAUUGUGGAACAAGAUGUGGAGUUGGUGAGCUGAGUUGUUAUGGAUUAAGAACUGGUGGUCAACUUAACGCCAGCUGGAUUACAUCAGCAUGGCACUGAGUGAAGAUGCUCCACCUGAGGAAAGUUGCCAGGAUAAAUAAGUGGAGAAGAAGGGAGGUGUUAAGGAGGCAUUGUGGGUUCUCCUACGAGUUGCUGUCUGAUCUGUUGGUUCUCCUGGAGAAGCUUUUGGUCCUCACAUAGAGCACUGCUUCCUGACUCCAGAGGGGAAGACAUGUGCUGCUUGGUCUCCAGGAUGAACUUGUCACGCUGCUUCCUGGCACGUACCCAACUGUGCUUGUCGGAGGAGGAGCUCGGGGCCUCCAUGUCGCUGAGGACGGCUGUGGUGCCUUCAGGAUAGCCCUGGUCUUUGUGAGUGUGACUUCUCGGCUCCAGCAUAGAAUCUGCAUCCCACUAGCACAGCUCCUUCAUCCUUCUGGCAUAGACUUUCUGGCUUCCACUGCUGACCCUUGGGUCUUCCCGGCACGGAUCCAUAAAAGAGACUGGUGUGAGUCCUUCUUGUGGGCUCUCAACCUCCAGUUGGACUCGUGGGAGGCAUUGUCCUGAGCUCUGGGUUUUUAUCUGGACUCAUGUGGGACAUUGCCGUGGGGUUUAGGCUCUUGACUAAAUAAUCUAUGUCUUUGGUGUUACGGAUAGAUUUCCUGCAUUUCCCUGUGUUAACUUCUGGUGACCAUUAUAAAAAUAUAAACUCCAUGUCCUAAUGCUAGUUGUUCUCUGUGUACAACCCCUGACUACAACAUGAGUAAUACACAAUUGUAUAAAAAUACCACAACUUUUUUAUCCAUUCCUCAGUUGAUGGACACUUAGGUUGUU